This 502-nucleotide ribosomal RNA is filed under the name uncultured bacterium. RNAcentral describes it as "partial 16S ribosomal RNA". It matches the Rfam family "Bacterial small subunit ribosomal RNA", at positions 30 to 523 of the family's 1533-position model. The record is from RNAcentral.
AUUGAACGCUGGCGGAAUGCUUUACACAUGCAAGUCGAACGGCAGCACGGGAGCUUGCUCCUGGUGGCGAGUGGCGAACGGGUGAGUAAUAUAUCGGAACGUAUCCAAUAAUGGGGGAUAACUAGUCGAAAGAUUAGCUAAUACCGCAUACGCCCUGAGGGGGAAAGCUGGGGAUCUUCGGACCUAGCGUUAAUGGAGCGGCCGAUAUCUGAUUAGCUAGUAGGUGAGGUAAAAGCUCACCUAGGCGACGAUCAGUAGCUGGUCUGAGAGGACGACCAGCCACACUGGAACUGAGACACGGUCCAGACUCCUACGGGAGGCAGCAGUGGGGAAUUUUGGACAAUGGGGGCAACCCUGAUCCAGCCAUUCCGCGUGAGUGAAGAAGGCCUUCGGGUUGUAAAGCUCUUUCGCAAGGGAAGAAAACUUAACCUCUAACAUAGGUUGAGGCUGACGGUACCUUGAUAAGAAGCACCGGCUAACUACGUGCCAGCCGCCGCAGUAA